UGACCUUUCAAGAAAUUUAUUAGUUGUAUAUACAUUGAGAGGGAAAUUGCUGAAAAGAUCAAUGUUGAUACAAUAAUAGAUAAAUUUCGAACCAUGAAAAAAUGAAGAGUUCAAUAUAAAUAAAUUUUUAGUAUUUGAAAUAUAUAUAUAUAUAUAUACUAUUCAUUGAUAAAAAAAAUUCUAGUAUUUUAUUUCUCCCCUCCAACGGAAAAAUCCUGGAUACGCCCCUGGAUCCAUGUGAGCAGCACGGGACCUAGAGCCUUUGAGACCAAGAGGCUUCACCAUCCAUGAUAUAUAAGGGGUAGAGUAGCAAAGAGGAGCCUUAAACCUAGCGCCACAUGAGAGCUCCUCUCUUCUCUAAUUCAUUUUUCUCCCAGCCACAAAACCUUCAUAGAACCCUCACCACUUCAUCAUUUUCUUCUCCAGUCUUCCCUGACCCAACAUUAAAUUUAAACUCCAUCGUCCACAGAAACCCAAAGGAAGGACAAGUCUUGUUGGCGAGUGCGUUACCCAGUUCUAAAUCAGUUGUACGAGCACUAUGAACUUAUGGCCUCUAAACCUAACAGAUUGGAAAUGGUCCUUGCCUACAAGGUUGAAGUAUGCAUAGCAUCAACAGGAAAACAAAAGAGGUCUAAAAGAGCUCUGGCCCUAUAAAGAUGGUGUUGACGAAGACAACGGUGUCGAUCCAUUCUUGGGAACUGAUGCGAUAUGAUAAAGAGAAGGAUCGGGCUUAGGCGACCGACACGUCCGGAGACCGGCGAGUUUAUGGCGACGAUGAUUGAGCUGAUGAAGAUUUGGGUUUGGGAUGUGAGACCUCUACUUUCUUUCCUUGGGGUUGAGAGUUGCGAGUGGGCAAUGAACCAUUUACUCAUUUUCCGUUGGUUUAAUUUGAUGUAAUUUACCUCUUUACAUUCCAGACAAGUGUUACAUUUGGUUCCGAAUGGUUA
This is a long non-coding RNA of Lotus japonicus, 947 nucleotides long. RefSeq lists it as uncharacterized. The record is from RefSeq and is a predicted model, not a curated record. The transcript is spliced from 4 exons. Lineage: Eukaryota; Viridiplantae; Streptophyta; Magnoliopsida; Fabales; Fabaceae.